This 527-nucleotide ribosomal RNA is filed under the name uncultured bacterium. Its description in RNAcentral is "bacterial SSU rRNA". It matches the Rfam family "Bacterial small subunit ribosomal RNA", at positions 8 to 526 of the family's 1533-position model. The record is from RNAcentral.
AGAGUUUGAUCAUGGCUCAGGACGAACGCUGGCGGCGUGCCUAAUACAUGCAAGUUGAGCGGUAGCACAGAGAGCUUGCUCUCGGGUGACGAGCGGCGGACGGGUGAGUAAUGUCUGGGAAACUGCCUGAUGGAGGGGGAUAACUACUGGAAACGGUAGCUAAUACCGCAUAAUGUCUACGGACCAAAGCGGGGGACCUCCGGGCCUCGCGCCAUCAGAUGAACCCAUAUGGGAUUAGCUUGUAGGUGAGGUAACGGCUCACCUAGGCGACGAUCCCUAGCUGGUCUGAGAGGAUGAUCAGCCACACUGGGACUGAGACACGGCCCAGACUCCUACGGGAGGCAGCAGUGGGGAAUCUUCGGCAAUGGACGAAAGUCUGACCGAGCAACGCCGCGUGAGUGAAGAAGGCCUUCGGGUUGUAAAGCACUUUCAGCGGGGAGGAAGGCGGUGAGGUUAAUAACCUCACCGAUUGACGUUACCCGCAGAAGAAGCACCGGCUAACUCCGUGCCAGCAGCCGCGGUAAUUC